GGAAAUGGGGCAUGCUUAACAUGCAAGUCGUACCAACAGUAGGCGCGGUAGCUUGCUACCUGCCGGCGAGUGGCGAACGGGUGAGUAAUACAUCGGAACGUGCCCUGUAGUGGGGGAUAACUAGUCGAAAGACUGGCUAAUACCGCAUACGACCUGAGGGUGAAAGUGGGGGACCGCAAGGCCUCAUGCUAUAGGAGCGGCCGAUGUCUGAUUAGCUAGUUGGUGGGGUAAAGGCCCACCAAGGCGACGAUCAGUAGCUGGUCUGAGAGGACGAUCAGCCACACUGGGACUGAGACACGGCCCAGACUCCUACGGGAGGCAGCAGUGGGGAAUUUUGGACAAUGGGGGCAACCCUGAUCCAGCAAUGCCGCGUGUGUGAAGAAGGCCUUCGGGUUGUAAAGCACUUUUGUCCGGAAAGAAAUCGCUUCGGUUAAUACCUGGAGUGGAUGACGGUACCGGAAGAAUAAGGACCGGCUAACUACGUGCCAGCAGCCGCGGUAAUACGUAGGGUCCAAGCGUUAAUCGGAAUUACUGGGCGUAAAGCGUGCGCAGGCGGUUGUGCAAGACCGAUGUGAAAUCCCCGGGCUUAACCUGGGAAUUGCAUUGGUGACUGCACGGCUAGAGUGUGUCAGAGGGGGGUAGAAUUCCACGUGUAGCAGUGAAAUGCGUAGAGAUGUGGAGGAAUACCGAUGGCGAAGGCAGCCCCCUGGGAUAACACUGACGCUCAUGCACGAAAGCGUGGGGAGCAAACAGGAUUAGAUACCCUGGUAGUCCACGCCCUAAACGAUGUCAACUAGUUGUUGGGGAUUCAUUUUCUUAGUAACGUAGCUAACGCGUGAAGUUGACCGCCUGGGGAGUACGGUCGCAAGAUUAAAACUCAAAGGAAUUGACGGGGACCCGCACAAGCGGUGGAUGAUGUGGAUUAAUUCGAUGCAACGCGAAAAACCUUACCUACCCUUGACAUGCCACUAACGAAGCAGAGAUGCAUUAGGUGCUCGAAAGAGAAAGUGGACACAGGUGCUGCAUGGCUGUCGUCAGCUCGUGUCGUGAGAUGUUGGGUUAAGUCCCGCAACGAGCGCAACCCUUGUCUCUAGUUGCUACGAAAGGGCACUCUAGAAGAACUGCCGGUGACAAACCGAAGGAAGGUGGGGAUGACGUCAAGUCCUCAUGGCCCUUAUGGGUAAGGCUUCCACCGUCAUACAAUGUUGCAUACAAGGGGUUGCCAAGCCCCCAGGGUGGAGCUAAUCCCAGAAAAUGCAUCCGAAUCCCGGAUCGGAGUCUGGCACCUCGCACACUGGAAGCUUGGAAUCCCUAGAAAUCCGGGAUACACAUGCCCGGGGUAAAACCUUCCCCGGGUUUUGGACAACCCCCCCGUCACACCUGGGGAAUGGGGCUUUCACAAAGAAUUUUGGCAGUUACCCCCCGGAGGGGGCAUGUACCACCAGGGGGUUCUAACCGGGGGAGAAAA
This 1468-nucleotide ribosomal RNA is filed under the name blood disease bacterium A2 HR-MARDI. RNAcentral's name for it is "bacterial SSU rRNA". It matches the Rfam family "Bacterial small subunit ribosomal RNA". The record is from RNAcentral.